This 7357-nucleotide long non-coding RNA is filed under the name Homo sapiens (human). RNAcentral describes it as "non-protein coding LINC01833:29". The record is from RNAcentral. Lineage: Eukaryota; Metazoa; Chordata; Mammalia; Primates; Hominidae.
CUGGGCAGGUGCUGCGGGCUCUGCCGAAAGCGCUGAAAUAAAAAACCAUCGCCACUCAGGGAGAACUGAGGCAAGUGGGGCUGAGACUCUGGCGACACCCCCGCCCCCCAGCCUCUGCCCCAGCGCCUGCCGCCCUGCCGCCCUGCCGCACCCCGCCUGCUUGGGUGGCGACCGCGGUUCCGGAACGCGAAGCAGGGCAGAGGGCUGCAGAGAGGCGUGUAGCUUUGUGCGCCAGGACCCGGUGGGGCAGGUGGCAGCCCCGGGCUGUCCGCGCCUCCCAGCAGAGCCGAGCUCGGCGCCGCCCACCGAGCCCACCUCGCGGUCCAGCCGCCGCCAGCGCCUUUCGGCUCUGGCCUGAAGCAGUACUCCCGCCUCCUGGAGCGGGGAAAGCCAACGGGUCUGCAGGCCUCCGGGAGACGAGGAUCCGGAGGGUUGGGGCAGCUGCACCCACUUGGCCUUGCUCAGCUCUAAACAGCCGACCAGGAGGCCGGGGGAAGGUUUGCCCUGUGGGGGCAACGCCCCUUCCGGCUCCCAGGAUGUCGGGAGGCGGAGGCUGGCCGGGUGGCCCGUAGUCUGGGCCUCCCCGCAAGCUGCAAACUGAGGCGCUUGGCGCGGGCGGCCAGGGAGGGCGCAGGGGAGCGCAGCACGCAGGCGGGGAGGCCGCGAAGCCCUUCAAGGACCCCGAUUACUUUCCUUUGAAAAACAACAACAACAACUGCUCCCUCCCCGCACCCCCGCCCCCCGCCUUAGCCUCCGGGGACUGGCGCUCCAAGCAAUUGUCGCCCCGGACAGUAAACACAGCUCAGUUGCCUCAACUUUCUCCAUGCAUAAAAGUUCCUGGCGUGCGGGGAAAUUUGAAUAUUUGAUCAGCCCCUUUGAGUGACCCUCAUUAGUCCGGCGCCCUGCUAAGGCCGGGCAUUGCAAGAAAGCUGCUGGGCUCGGCAUUUGUACGCCUUGUUAGCGCAGCUUAAUGAAGCCGCCCCGACGGCUCAAAGGCGGCCUCAGGGGCCGGCGACGCGCACCUCUCGGCACCCUGCUCUGCCUAAUGAGCCCCGCCGCCCUCUAAAGGACCCUCCACCCCCCACAUUCUGAAACAGGGGAAGUUUGGCUCUGUCUUGAACCACGGCACCUCCCACUGCCAGGCCCAGGAGGGUGGGCACAAACCCAGCCUAGCUGCCUGCAGUUACCCAUUCCCAAGAGAGAGGGGCUGGAGAGUUGGGAGGUGUGAGCCAUACUGGUUGGGGGCAGUGCAGGGAGGGGAGCGGGUGGCAGGAGAGGCUUUUGCUGUCUCAGGAUCCAGCCCAGGGAGUGCACUGCCAGCCUCUCCCAAGUGGACCAAUUGCAAAUCAAUUAGUCACUCCAGUUCCUUAAAGGUGCAUCUGGACUAAUGCUGGGGUGGCUGAGGGUCAGCCUUCCAUCCUCCUAUCACCUUAGGUUCCCUUGGCUUCCACUGCCCAGAGGCCACACACUUCUUCCCAAGGUUCCCCUUCUGAACAGCCAGACCUGGUGUGCCAGGACUUGGAUUUGAGAAAGGGUGGGCAGCUCCCCUCCCUAACCCAUCAUUGCCUCCACCAUUCACAGAGCCCAGUCACAUGUUAUGACAAGUGGCAGUAGGGAAGGCAGGGGACCACAGCCCGUCCUGCACUCCCCCUCAACAGAGGUAUCCCUUCUUUGGCUUCUAGUCCCAGGGAGGCCUGGCAAAAAAAGUGCUAUAGGCAAGACCACCCUGCAAGACUGGCCUGGCAGCCUGGCAGAGAGGCAGAGAGCCAGAGCCCUGGAAGGAAGGGAAACCAAAGCAGUCAUCUACUUCACCUUUUCUUAGUGGGGCAGCUGACAUGGCUGGCCAGUAAAUAUAAGACACCCUCUUAAAAAUUGUGCUUCAGUCCUCAGGAAGUGUAGCCUUCCUUCCCUUUCUGUCUCCCCUCUCCUCUGAUGCCCUUUUCCCUGGACAGUCGGAGCUCAAGGUCCUUCACUCCCUCCUUGCAUACACAGCUCUUGGGCCCUUAAGGGUUACUUUUGGGGGGAAUUAAUGCUCUGGGCUUGGGAAGCAGGCUGCUCCAAAUCCACACUCAGGACUUUCUGGACCCCACCCCCCAACACACAAACACAAACAUGCCCAGGAUCCCUCAGACACACAGUGGGCCUGGUCAGGUUGGUAACCUCAGGACCCCGUGCCCGCGUGAGCGUCUCUGGGAGGUCGUGGAAAGGAACCAAAAGGCCAGGUAGGCCCUGGGAUACAGAGAGCCCUCCAAGUCCAUCUGGUUUGCUUCUCUUCCUUUCUCUCUCCCUAGCUCCGCUAGCAUGCCCUGCCCCAUUUCCCAUCACAUAACCCCCUAACUUAACCCUAAACUGGCAAUCUUUAGGCAUCACCUCUGAGCUGGGCAAAGGCGGUGCCCGGGCCUUGAUCGACCCAGAGGGCUAAAGUAGGGGCGGGGAAGGGAGGGGUGUGCGCUGCUGGUGAGAAAGGGGACCUGAGGCGAGGGUAGAACUCAGCCCUGUGGCCUCGAGGCCAGGCCCACCGGCUGCUCAGGGGAGGAGGCGAGGGGAGGGGGCUGGGAGUCCGCAGGCAUCGGUCGGGGCAGCAGGGACCUCAGGCGUCGGCGUGGGGGGCUAGAUCCGGAGGAGAGGGGAGGGGAGGCGGGGGUCGGGGGAUCGCGCAGGGCGGAGGAGGGGUGCAGCUCUUUAAGAGCCACACGGCUGGCAGGAGAGGCGCGCGGCCCGGUGCUGGUAGAGCACUGACCCCGAAGGGGAUUUAGCGGGAAGAGAGUGGCCGGGCUCUGGGGGUUUUGUCCGAGGGGGCCGGGAGAGGCCGAGACACAAGAAUAAGGAGCGGCCGCGGCAUGAAAGGCGGCGAGGAGAGGCAGCACUGCUGCUCUUGACUUCUGAGCAGGGCUUAGAGAGCCUGCCCCGGCUUAAGCCGAGCUGCUGGUGCUGACCCUGAGCGCCGAGUCCGCGAGCUCUGAGUCCGGAGCCUCCCAGCCGUGGAGCCGUGGGAUGAGGGGGGCGUUGGGGGACAGGGCAAAGUCGAUCUUGGUUGUACAGCCGCCCGAUCCUAGCGCGGAGCUGCGAGCCUGACCGGCCGCGUCUGGCAUGGUCAGAGAAAGAAUUUUCUUUUCCCAACUCCGGCUUUUGGUUUUGUGUGUCCACCUUGCGCAACUCCGGAGCCAGCCGACCCCACAUGGAUUCUCAACAGGUGGCCGGGUAAGUCCGUUUAAAGAAUUCUGGUUAUAUGGUCAGCCCCUCCCCGACCUUCUUCCUUUUCCCCUCCCUCUUCCCCCUUUGGCUGGGCCGGGUUCCCCGUGCUCCUCCCGCAGGCGACGGCUGGGGUGGUGGUGGGGGAAGAGGCGCCCUUCCCCUGGGGGUCUCUGGGCUCCGAGUUGCAGCCCAGGAAGCCUGGCGGGCGGCCCCCAAGGAGUUCCACCCGGUACCCCCAAGUCCCGAUCACUCUUAGCUCCUUGGUCUGGGCCCUGGCGCCCUGAGAGGGGGAGGGAGAAAGAACGCGCAGCAGCACCUCAAAAGCCGAAGUCCCCGGGAAGGGGGACAGGGGACCCGGUGGCCGGGCAGCCUUUGUGUGGGGGUUUACGGCGGAAACAGAACUAUUCUUCUUGUGUGAGAGGCCCGGGAUGUGGCCAGGGGGAGCCCGCGCCAGCCGUACAAUAGCCGGCAGAAGAGCGCCUCAGCAGCCGGGGUAGGAGUGGGGUAGGGUGGGGUAGACCUGGGUGGGGGAGGGGAGGGCGAGAGAAGAGGGAGGGGAAGCAGAGAAAGGCAAAGGCGAGAAAUCCAGGGCGUCCGAGUGAAAAGUCGGAAAAUGUUUCCAGAGCGCGCCACAAACAGGCGCGCGCGCGCGCUUGCGGGCGCAUAGUCUCUCUGUCUCUCUCUCGCACACACACAAACACACUCUUACAUGCUCACACUCAUUCCACACAUGGAGCCCACGCACGCGGUUCCUAGUCGUGCAGGGUCGCAUGCCUGGGCACCCAAAGUGAACGCAGAGUAGAGCCGCCCUCCCACCCCCACCAACGGAGAGCCCUCCCGCCCAGCCACAGGCUCCCCGACUGGGGAGCUAGGAGGGCCCCCGGGGCUGGGGCACAGGGAGGAUCUUACCUGCCGAAAGGUAAGGGAAGCCGGGAGCACGGAGCAGCGGCGGAUAAAUAUUCAUUAGUAAGUCUCUCCUUUUAAGCCGCGCGGUGCGCUCUCUGGCUCCUAUCUCUCUUUCCCUCCCUCCCUCUGUCCUCUUGUGAGCCUCUCUCCCCCUCUCGCUCUGUCUUCCCCCCACCCCUUCCUGCGAAAUGCCGGGUGGAUCCCAGUAUAGCUAACCUGUUGGGAAGCCUGAGCCGCGGGCAGCGCCUCCACAGCUGUUUGCUUUUGCUCUUGGGGCGCGCGUUUCCCCAUCCUCUCCCCUCUCUCCUUUUGCCCAGCCCCUCUCCCCCUCCUAAAUUACUACAUCAUUAGCUUUAUUUGGUGGGGGGACAGCUCAGCCAAACGCACCUCCCUAUAGCAGGGUGAAAAGCCGCUGCUCCCCGAGGCAGCCCCAACUCCACCCCUACCCCUGCCUCACCCAUCUCCAUGUCCCUACCCAGUUUUGUUUAUUUUUCUUCUCUCUUUCCAUCUUCACUUCCGUCCUGUACCGACCCAACUCCCUUACCAUUCCUCCCUUCCUCGUCGCUGCCAAUACGGAUCCCAGACGGGGUCGGGGCAGGGAGAUGCCAAGUGAGUAGGUCCAAUAUGCCAAGGUCGGGACUCCACCCUGCCAUGGGCGUGGGGGUAGUCCUCCAGGUCCCCCUUUCCCACGUAGGCUUUCCACCCUGACCCUAAGUGGGUACCGGGGCAGCUUGGGCCUUGGGAUCAGAGCACCAGGGCGCACAGCAAGGGCCUCAGCCCUCCAGGCCUCAGCGACCUGGAGCCUGGGUCCUUUGACCCGGUCUGGGAGACUGCAUGGCGGAGGGGAGGUGGCUUCACUUUGUACGAAUGCUCAGGAGAGACACAACCACCGACCAUCGGACUGACGUUCUCCCUUUUCAAACAAACUGACCUUAAGUCAGCAGUAAGUCUGCAUCAUUCUCACGAGAAAACACAUCUACAAGAUUCUAGAAAUGCACAAGGAACCGCUUCUAGUCGCGCGUGAACACGUGCACACACACCACACCCCUCACCCCCACACACCCGAGGCCACCGUUCCCGCUGGCCUCUGAAACCUGUAGGCGCGCAGGCCCGAAAGGCUAAUUCUAGCGGAGGAAUACAUCGCAAAACCGCCCCAGGAGAGCCCUGGCCACUCUUGUUGGCCCCCAUUCUUCCAGAUCCAGGCCUCUAGGAUGCCCCAGGGACCCUGAAGGAUGGUGAGGCCCCAGGGUGCUUGGGGGUGGUCCGGGAAGCUCACUCUGGCAGCCCGCUGAGCGCUGCGUGUUGAGGUAGGAGCUGGAGGAGGGGCCAAGGGAGGCGGGCCCAGGCCAAUUCCAAGUUACAAAUACAGCUGCUCCUGCGAGGCCUAGGAGAGUUUUGCCCCAAAACGUGCAUAUCAUUCGCCCCGAGACGCCAUGACCUCCCCAGACAUAGCCCCAGGGCGCACUCGACCUCGAGGUGGCUUGGGUGAUGGGAGCAAUCGAGAGCCAGGAGACGACCUCGAGACCUCCGCCCGCCCAUUCAGCCCGGCCCAGCCACAGUCCACCGAGAGACGCCCUAGAUGAUGGUCCUAUCCUUCCCAAAGGGUGGCAAGGCGCAGGAUCGCGGAGGGUCUCCCUCCUUGUCCUGAAAGGUUAAGAAAUUGGGCAGAUGAAGGUAUUUAAAAGAGGCCUAGAGGGCCCUGGGGCCGAAAGCCCUAUCAACCUCACACUCCACCCAAAGUCCCGCGUUUGCACGUGCACACCUCCUUCUCCCCAUGCAGACCCAGGGGGUCGCGCACGUUUGAGCUCAGACUCAAGCUGAGUCACCUGACUAUGCCUGGAACGUACAGGCAAUCGUACCGAAUACACAUGGGAGAAUUAAAGGAACACUACGGGAGAAUUAAAGGAACACUAACAGGAAUUUGAGGAAUAAAGAAGUGCCCACAGGCAUAAUUAUUUGAAUACACGGGUGCACACCCUGUUGUCCAGAUGCAGACAAAAGCCACAGUGCCUGCGAGGAGUGACCCCAACCACAAGGGCAGAUGUACAGGAAGCCGUGAACGGGAGAGUUCGCCGAAUGAGGACGCAGGCCGCAAGGCCAAGGGGGCUUCCUGCUAGAGGGACGUUGGCUCGGAGGGAGAAACUUUGUUGAGCCGACUGGGUGAAAGGUUUCAGGUCAAGUCCUGGCCACUAGAAAGAACCAAGGCCUCAUCCACUCAGAGCCAACCUUUUAGCCUUCCUCUCAGCUCUGUUGGAGAUACCCAGAAAAGGACAAUCCAGGAAAGAUUCAUUUUGACCGAGAUUGUUUUUAUUGUUUAUUUCUUAUUAUUUUUGACCUAGGGGUUUGCAUUCUGAAAAAGGAUUUGGGUGGCGCGUAUGCAAGUUCUCACUCACUGCUGGGAGAUUCAUAAUUCUUAAUAGGAACAUUCAGCUCUAACCAUGGCCUGAGAAGCUGGAGGGCCCUUAUUUUGCCCCUUUCACCCUUCUUAUCCUAAACUUGAUCAUUCAAAAGGAUCCACACCCUCCUGCCCCCAACUCCACCCCAAUACCCUGUAUGUCAGAUAUGUUUGCAGAAGAACACACUUCAAAGUAAACCAAAUUACAUAGUUUAUUUAAAAAAAUUUUUUGUGAUAUAUUGGGAAGUCCUCACCCCCUGCUCCCCUGUCUCUGGCUGAGCACGGUGUCCGGGCGGAGUUGGGGGGUUGCCAAGAGGAGUUUCCAGAGUGGCUCUUGGGCAAGGCCUGAGAAACUACUCUACAUAGGCUUGUUUUUAGUGUGAGCUCCCUUUGCCUAACCAGUUCUAGUGGCUACCUCCCGGUUUCCUGCAGAAGAGGCAGGCUCCCUGGGAGCAGGGGCGCCCUCGCUUCCACUUCACCUCCUUUCCUAACUUUCUCUCUUUUGAGCACAUCUUCUGAGCCUCGCUCUCUCAUCUGAAAGUGGAGUGUAAGUCCAAGAAGAUUCAUUUAGACAAAGAAGGUGGAAAAAAAGGACUUUCUGGGCCAGCAAGUCGGAUGACCACCCUCCAAGGGGCAGAGGAGGGCCCAUUUUGUGAAGAAGAAAUCAACUACCCGGAAAACGCCACAGGAGGACAUGUUUCUGCAGAUGUAGUUGCCCUAGAAACAGAAGAGUAUGGGGGUGUGAAUGUCUUCUCUUUUGGGGGCAAACACUAUGUCCUUUUCUUUUUCUAGAUACAGUUAAUUCCUGGAAAUUUUAGCGAGUUUGUUCUUGUGGAUAUUUUGAACAAUAAAGAGUGAAAA